GAUGAACGCUGGCGGCGUGCUUAACACAUGCAAGUCGAACGGGAAACAUUUUAUUGAAGCUUCGGCAGAUUUAGCUUGUUUCUAGUGGCGGACGGGUGAGUAACGCGUGAAUAACCUGCCUUUCAGUGGGGGACAACAGUCGGAAACGACUGCUAAUACCGCAUGACGCUUCUUGGGGGCAUCCCUGAGAAGUCAAAGCUUUAUGUGCUGAAAGAUGGAUUCGCGUCUGAUUAGCUAGUUGGUGAGGUAACGGCUCACCAAGGCGACGAUCAGUAGCCGGUCUGAGAGGAAGGUCCCCCACAUUGGAACUGAGACACGGUCCAA
RNAcentral lists this ribosomal RNA (324 nucleotides) under uncultured bacterium. Its description in RNAcentral is "bacterial SSU rRNA". It matches the Rfam family "Bacterial small subunit ribosomal RNA", at positions 28 to 334 of the family's 1533-position model. The record is from RNAcentral.